Molecule: long non-coding RNA, 275 nt
Organism: Cylas formicarius (sweet potato weevil)
Lineage: Eukaryota; Metazoa; Arthropoda; Insecta; Coleoptera; Brentidae
Exons: 3
Source: RefSeq, a predicted model, not a curated record
AUAAAUAGCUGCCAACGCUUUUCUUCGUUUGGUUAUAUCGAUCCAUAUUUCACACAAAAAUGAACUUGUGUUUAAUUAUUUGUGCUCUGCUUUUACCCGCAUUUUGCAGCGGCAGAGGAUAUUAUCUCCAACAUGCUGAAUCGCAAUUAUACAUAAGCAAAUAUGGCUUUAAAUUGGUGAAGACUCAAGAUGAGGCAGGCGUUUACAUUUUUAGCGCAAAGUAUUUCAUCAGCCUGACUAACAUGCGAGAUGUGUCCGUAAGAGGUGGAUGUAAU